UUGACGGGGUCGGUUAGCUGCAGGCGAUGGGGUGUGAGUGCUGACCGGCAGCCCUGCUCCUCCAGGUAAAUGGGGAGGGAUCAUGUGCACCACUAUCAUGGUCCUCAGUACGCUCGCCAUAUUCCUGCAUCGAAGGUUCUUCAACAAAGUCAAGCCGCACCCUGAGGAAUUCGAUGAGAAAGAGGCCACAGUGCGCGGUGAGGGCAGGUAACUCUCCCACGCUCACCAGUGGAGGCUGCCACUCUCAGGAUAUCAGAAGGCUAAUACUUCUCAGCAGCAAAGACGGAUUCUCCACGCCUGCUUUAGGAAUUGCAAGCAGAUGCAGGUUCUAGAAGCGCAGCGCACCCUCCUAACUAUGGCUAGAAAGACGUGAAUUUAUCCUCAUCCCAGCUCUGGAGCUGGCCUGGGCAGCCUCUCCCGACAGCUCAACGCAAGGCUGCUUCUGCAGAACUCCCCGACGUCAAAACCACCGCCCUGAAUAAGCCUGCAAUGACCGCUGUACAGCCAAGGAGCAAGCCUGCGCUGGGAGGUCACUGGGAGGACUUGCCACCACGUGGCAUGGUCUAAUAACACUGGGAGAUAAUAAGGAGCGCCUCUGCUCCUCACAACCUAAGACUGACAUUUCUUCAGGAGGUUCUAGGUGCACAAUGUAGCUCCCGGGAUGCAUUCAAUGCAGCUUUGCUUUAAUAAAUAGUUGUCUUUGUCCCGCUUCUCUUUCAAAUAUGUGAAGGUUUGUUGUCCACCCCAGUGAACGCCUCAUC
Molecule: long non-coding RNA, 761 nt
Organism: Polyodon spathula (Mississippi paddlefish)
Lineage: Eukaryota; Metazoa; Chordata; Actinopteri; Acipenseriformes; Polyodontidae
Exons: 5
Source: RefSeq, a predicted model, not a curated record